UACGUAGGGGGCGAGCGUUAUCCGGAAUUAUUGGGCGUAAAGAGUGCGUAGGCGGUUUCUUAAGCGUGGGGUGAAGGCCAUUGGCUUAACCAAUGUAAGCCCCGCGAACUGGGGAGCUUGAGUGCAGGAGAGGAAAGCGGAAUUCCUAGUGUAGCGGUGGAAUGCGUAGAUAUUAGGAGGAACACCAGUGGCGAAGGCGGCUUUCUGGACUGUAACUGACGCUGAGGCACGAAAGCGUGGGGAGCAAACAGGAUUAGAUACCCUGUUAGUCCACGCCAUAAACGAUGAGCACUAGGUGUCGGGGACGCAAGUCUUCGGUGCCGCAGUUAACGCAUUAAGUGCUCCGCCUGGGGAGUACGUACGCAAGUAUGAA
Molecule: ribosomal RNA, 373 nt
Filed under: uncultured bacterium
Lineage: Bacteria
Description: bacterial SSU rRNA
Rfam family: Bacterial small subunit ribosomal RNA
Source: RNAcentral